This 1546-nucleotide non-coding RNA is filed under the name uncultured fungus. RNAcentral describes it as "eukaryotic LSU rRNA". The stretch from base 913 to 1546 matches the Rfam family "Eukaryotic large subunit ribosomal RNA", at positions 1 to 649 of the family's 3401-position model. The record is from RNAcentral. Lineage: Eukaryota; Fungi.
AGUCGUAACAAGGUUUCCGUAGAUAUAAGUCCAUGAUUCUUCCGUGGUGACACUUAUAGAAGCCUGCGCGAGCCCGCAAGGGUCGCCACCACGACGGUAAAUAAAGGUGGUCUAUCGCAAGUCAGCAAUGGCGACAUAACCGAAUUGCGGGAAGCCCUAAAGCCUGGUAGUACCAACUGUGGAUGGAAACAUUCUCAGGGCCUAUGCUAACUACAUAGGGUGGUAAAAACCUGCCAGGAUAUUACAAUGGGUGAUCCGCGGCGAAGCCCCUAAGGUCUGGAGACUAUGGGGAACGUUCACAGACUAAGUGGUUAUGGGCGCUCUCUAGAGAGCGCUUAAGAUAUAGUCGGGUCCGUGGAGAAAUCCGGGGGGUAAGUCGCUACCAAAAAGCACAGAGGGUAUCGGAAGCAUCCGGCUCUUGACGAAUAACCGUUCCGUAGGUGAACCUGCGGAAGGAUCAUUACAGUGUUCCCUGCCCUCACGGGUAGAAACGCCCACCCUUGUGUAGUAUAUCUUGUUGCUUUGGCAGGCCGCCCUCGGGCGCCGGCUUCGGUCGGAUCGCGCCUGCCAGAGGCCCCCAAACCCGUGUCAUCGUGUCGUCCGAGUACUAUAUAAUAGUUAAAACUUUCAACAACGGAUCUCUUGNUCUGGCAUCGAUGAAGAACGCAGCGAAAUGCGAUAGUAAUGUGAAUUGCAGNAUUCAGUGAAUCAUCGAUCUUUGACNNACAUUGCGCCCCGUGGUAUUCCGCGGGCAUGCCUGUCGAGCGUCAUUUACCCUAUCAGCUGCUGGUNUNGGCCUCGCCUCCGGCGGCCUUGAAAUCAGUGGCGGCGCCACCCGGCUCUAAGCGUAGUAAUACNCUCGCUACAGGGCUCCGGGUGAACGCUGGCCAGCAACCCCACACUACAUCAGGUUGAUCUCGGAUCAGGUAGGGAUACCCGCUGAACUUAAGCAUAUCAAUAAGCGGAGGAAAAGAAACCAACAGGGAUUACCUCAGUAACGGCGAGUGAAGCGGUAACAGCUCAAAUUUGAAAUCUGGCCCUUUUAGGGUCCGAGUUGUAAUUUGCAGAAGAUGCUUCGGGUGAGGCGCCGGUCUAAGUUCCUUGGAACAGGACGUCGUAGAGGGUGAGAAUCCCGUAUGUGACUGGCCGCCUUCGCCCGUGUGAAGCUCUUUCGACGAGUCGAGUUGUUUGGGAAUGCAGCUCUAAAUGGGUGGUAAAUUUCAUCUAAAGCUAAAUAUUGGCCAGAGACCGAUAGCGCACAAGUAGAGUGAUCGAAAGAUGAAAAGCACUUUGGAAAGAGAGUUAAACAGUACGUGAAAUUGUUGAAAGGGAAGCGCUUGCAACCAGACUUGCGCCCCGUCGAUCAUCCCCCGUUCUCGGAGGUGCACUCGGCGGGGCUCAGGCCAGCAUCGGUUUCGGUGGUGGGAUAAAGGCCUUGGGAACGUAGCUCCUCUCGGGGAGUGUUAUAGCCCUCGGUGCAAUGCCGCCUACCGGGACCGAGGACCGCGCUCCGGCUAGGAUGCUGGCGUAAUGGUUGUAAGCGACC